AAGUUCUGUGACAGGAGUGUUUGGGUUCAAUCCUCCUGCAAUUCUUUUCAGUUGCAACUCUUAACAAGAUGGAAGAAUACGCCCCUCCCACAACCAAAAUUCCUUUUCAAAGCGAUAAGGAAUACCAUGUGUUUCUGAGUUUCAGGGGAGAAGAUGUGAGAAAGAAUCUGGUGGAUCAUCUCUAUCAAGCUCUCACUGCUGCCGGACUCCAUGUUUACAAGGACGACGACAAAUUGGAAAAGGGAGAUCUGAUUUGGCCGAGCUUGGAAAGAGCAAUUGAGAGCAGCGCUGUACUCAUCCCUGUAUUUUCGAGAGGCUAUGCUGAGUCUACAUGGUGUCUCAAUGAGGCGGCCACAAUGGUGAAGACCAAGGGUUUCAUCAUUCCUCUCUUUUAUUGCGUGGGUCCAACUCACGUUAGAUAUCCUCUAGGCAACUCCAGUCCGUAGAAGCAAGUAUUUGUAAAACAUUAUAGCCAUUCCGAUCAAAUCCAAAGAGAAGAGAUUGAGUGGUGGAAGUAUGGUCUUCAACAGAUUUGUCCAUGCCUAAAACUUUAUGGGCAUUCAGUUCGAUACCCAAGAGAAGAGAUCGACGGAUGGAAGGAUGCCCUUGAAAAGAUCUGUUCGCGCUCCGGGUGGUCCAUGGAUUUGACUGGAGGAUGAAGUUUGCUUGGAUGAAUAUAGCAGGAACCGGAUAGUAAUUUUUCAAGGGUCUUUGGAGCAAGCCGUUCCACAAGAAUUUCAACAGUAUAUUGAAAAUCUUUAUGGUUAAGAAACCAGUGAAGCGUCUGAGGUCCUCUUCGAGAAAUUAACUCCCUUGCUGUAAACAGUGAUGAGUUUGACAAGAUUAUUUCUAGCUAUCAAGUAUUCUACAGAUGAACACUACUCCAAAGAAAACAUUUAAAGUGCUGUACAGAAAUCUUGCAUCAAUUAUCUUCGGGAAACCCUUGUAGAUUCAAAUCUGUAGGUUGAGAUGGCUGAAUUGCAUGCAUUGAGAACAAUUCUGCAAAGAGAUGUUGUCCAGAAGUUGCACGCAAGCUUUACUUCUCAUGUUUUCUCUCUAAUUCAAAAUUUAACACAGACACUUUAUCAGAAGCCAGUGUGAAUCCCAAAAAGACGUGCUGAACUUGCUUUUACAAAGCAAAAUUAUAUCUGCCUCGGUAGAAACUGAAGAAAAUUCACAGCCUCAAGAUCAUGUGUACUAAGCAUUGCCUUGGUGGCCGCAGACUGCAUCUGAUAGUUGUUCUUCAGUUGCUCAAGAGAUGCCUUCACAGUUGGACUCUAUCAUGUCCAACUCCCAUAUGGUCAAAAACAGUCUGGAGAAAUGUAAAAGAUGAUAAUUGGGACAGUUCUCAGUGUUUUCCAGUCUCCAUCACAGUAGAUUCUGAAUGUACGUAUUGGCAUGAAUCGAUUUCGGAAGAUUCUUCCAAACAGGGAAUUGAUUUCCCAACUAAAGAUCGUUGAAUUCUAAUCAUUUCUAGAUCUCAAUUGCUUAUAGAUUCAACUAUAACAGGGGAAAUCCUAUAAGAUAGACAUGUAAACUCACUUUCUGUAGCUUUUGAAGAACAUAUCACUGAGCAGACAGAGAAUCUUCAAGAAGAUGAAAUUAAAUAAAUCAAGUGAAAAUAGCAGUCACAAGGAUGACAGAGUUGCUCGAUGGAGGAUCUUUCUUCAUUCCAUUCCUAACGGUGAGAUAGCUGAUGACCUACACAUCAACUCCAAAGGCCAGUCCAUACGAGCAAACAGAAGCAAAACCUCAAAAAUCAAAUUUUAGAAGCCCUGUUGUGGAACUCCACAUAUUUGUCAAAGCCUUGGUCAUUCAAAAAUUUGUUUUGUAAUUCUUAAUUAGAGUCAAAGCCCUGUUGUGAAACUCCACAUAUUUGUCAUUGAUAAUUAAUAUCAUUGUGUAAAUUGUAUA
Long non-coding RNA from Cryptomeria japonica (Japanese cedar), 1914 nucleotides. RefSeq lists it as uncharacterized. The transcript is spliced from 5 exons. The record is from RefSeq and is a predicted model, not a curated record. NCBI's taxonomy places the organism in Eukaryota, Viridiplantae, Streptophyta, Pinopsida, Cupressales, Cupressaceae.